GAUGAACGCUGGCGGCGUGCCUAAUACAUGCAAGUCGAGCGAACGGACGAGAAGCUUGCUUCUCUGAUGUUAGCGGCGGACGGGUGAGUAACACGUGGAUAACCUACCUAUAAGACUGGGAUAACUUCGGGAAACCGGAGCUAAUACCGGAUAAUAUUUUGAACCGCAUGGUUCAAAAGUGAAAGACGGUCUUGCUGUCACUUAUAGAUGGAUCCGCGCUGCAUUAGCUAGUUGGUAAGGUAACGGCUUACCAAGGCAACGAUGCAUAGCCGACCUGAGAGGGUGAUCGGCCACACUGGAACUGAGACACGGUCCAGACUCCUACGGGAGGCAGCAGUAGGGAAUCUUCCGCAAUGGGCGAAAGCCUGACGGAGCAACGCCGCGUGAGUGAUGAGGGUCUUCGGAUCGUAAAGCUCUGUUAUUAGGGAAGAACAUAUGUGUAAGUACCUGUGCACAUCUUGACGGUACCUAAUCAGAAAGCCACGGCUAACUACGUG
Molecule: ribosomal RNA, 497 nt
Filed under: uncultured bacterium
Lineage: Bacteria
Description: partial 16S ribosomal RNA
Rfam family: Bacterial small subunit ribosomal RNA
Source: RNAcentral